This 210-nucleotide non-coding RNA is filed under the name Chloroflexota bacterium. Lineage: Bacteria; Bacillati; Chloroflexota. The record is from RNAcentral.
AUAUAUACGAGCGACCAGGGUAUCUCCACCCCCGGAUGGGAAGGUUUAAAGGCGAAGCCGGUGAAAGUCCGGCGCUGUCCCGCAACUGUAAAUUAGUUACCCAGUCUCGUCGCCUGAUAGUUAAUAGUCCACCCAAAGACUAUCCAACUACUCGGCUACCCGACUAAACGACUAAUGAGCCAGGCCGCCCGCCUUGGUUGGCUUUUCCAC